GACGAACGCUGGCGGCGUGCUUAACACAUGCAAGUCGAACGGAAAGGCCCUGCUUUUGUGGGGUGCUCGAGUGGCGAACGGGUGAGUAACACGUGAGUAACCUGCCCUUGACUUUGGGAUAACUUCAGGAAACUGGGGCUAAUACCGGAUAGGAGCUCCUGCUGCAUGGUGGGGGUUGGAAAGUUUCGGCGGUUGGGGAUGGGCUCGCGGCUUAUCAGCUUGUUGGUGGGGUAGUGGCUUACCAAGGCUUUGACGGGUAGCCGGCCUGAGAGGGUGACCGGGGCGGGGGCGGGUGGGGAUCGGGCCACGGGCGGGAGGGAGGGAGGGGGGGGGAAGAUGGGGCGGGGGGCGGAAGGCUGGGGCAGCGACGGCGCGUGGGGGAGGGCGGCGUUGUGUUUGUCAGCGUGUUGCGCUUGUGAAGAGGGGUGAGGGCCGGAGGGGGAGAAAGGAGCACCGGCUAACGGCGUGCCAGAGGCCGCGGGAACACUCGGAAUAGCUAACGGCUGUCC
RNAcentral lists this ribosomal RNA (509 nucleotides) under uncultured bacterium. RNAcentral's name for it is "partial 16S ribosomal RNA". The stretch from base 20 to 329 matches the Rfam family "Bacterial small subunit ribosomal RNA", at positions 47 to 358 of the family's 1533-position model. The record is from RNAcentral.